This 1675-nucleotide long non-coding RNA is filed under the name Polistes dominula (European paper wasp). RNAcentral's name for it is "uncharacterized LOC107073725, transcript variant X1". The record is from RNAcentral. Lineage: Eukaryota; Metazoa; Arthropoda; Insecta; Hymenoptera; Vespidae.
GUUGACUAUACAAUAAAUAAUCAUCAAUUAUGGAACAACAACAAUCUACUAUCCUGUACAAUAUUAUAUUUCCAAGGAGAAAAGAGUAUGGUAUUUCGAUGGAAAUUUAUCAAAAGAAAAGUUGUGAACCUAUAAACGAAACUGAUAUCCAAUUGGAAUUUGUUGAACUCGCUACAGUUGUCGCUCCAUGUCCAUGCAGACUCGCCAUCAUGGCGGCGGCGGCGGCGGCGGCGGCGGCGGUUGAAGCUUGCGCAGUGACGCGCCGGCUUCUUCUUCUCCGGCAGCCAUCUUAGUUAUUAGUACUCUCCUUUGAAUUACACGUGUGUCAUUAAUUUUGCCUAUCGUAAAUGUGUUUGUGUGCAUAAAAGUACAAGUUUGGUGAGAUUAAUACAAUCAUUAUCGUUCGGCCGGCGGUUCUUCUAUCUGCUCAUUAUAUUAUUUUCAUUAUAAAACUCGGAACGUGAUUCGCUUUACGGCUUCUCUCUCUCUCUCUCUCAUUCUUCGAAUCUUUCAACUGACACGCGAAUUACGUGUGAAUUAAUAUCAUCACCGCCGUCGAUGCAUCUGAAAUGUAACUUUUAUAAACUGUACUGUAAAACAUUUCAAAGGAGAAAAUUACCGACUGGUAGAGAGAAUAUGUUUCACCAUCUAGCCGAAAGAUAGCACUUCACGCUAGGACAAAAUCAAGAUGGCUACCUGUCAAUGUACAUUGUACUUUUGUAUAUACUGGAAAACAGUUCCCACCACAUACGCAAUUUAUCGGCAACUAUAUGGAUAUGAUGUAUAGUACGCUGGAUGAAUUGCUAUUGUGUAUUAACAUUUUAAUCUCCUAUGACACACAAACACAUGAAAAUUAUAGCAAUUUACGAAAAAUGCAGCAGCAACCCCACAUGCGCAAUUUAUCGGCAACUAUAUGGAUAUGAUGUAUAGUACGCUGGAUGAAUUGCUGUUUUUUUGGAGUUGUAGUAGUAGUAAUAGUAGUUGUAACACUUUAAUAUCAUAAGACGCACAAACAUAUCAGAAUUUUUAAAUGACAAAAUUAUAGCAAUUUACGUAAAAUGCAGCAACCCCCCCAAUAUGAGGCAGUUAGCAAACGUGUCCAGUCUUGUCCGACCAAGACAUGACACACACCACCCAACCAGUAGCAGCAGCAACCUGUGAUGAUGAUGAUGACUAUUAUUGGGUAUCAUUACACAUAAUAGAUGAUAAUUUGUAGUAACAUUUUUGUCUCCUGAUAUUACAUUUUAUCAUCAUCAUUUGUGAAUGACAAAAUUACGGCAUUUUACGUAAAAUGUUGUCUCCUCAUAUAUAUAUGUAUAUGAAGGAAUUUAAAAAAUUCUGAUUGUCCUGUUCGUAAAGCUUGACCACCCCAGCUAUCCAUAACAUUAGAAGCAUAUUUCAAAACGGCUAAAUAAUUUUCUUUGCCAACAACUUGCACCAAAAUUAACAUUAUAUAAUAGUGUAUACUUGUGUAUCACAUGAUGGUAAGAUAACUGUUUUAUUAUUUGGAGUACUUUUACGUUUUCUUUUAUUUUGAUUAGUUAUUUCAUCUAUGGUAUCAUUUUCCUCCUUUUUGUUUAUCUCUCUUUGGACAACUACAAACUCUAACUAAUAAUUUACGACGUCCAAGUACUCAAUUUAUUAAUGUGCACAUCUUCCAUCAUCAUGUGAAAAC